UUUUUUUUCAAUUUUUU
RNAcentral lists this small RNA (17 nucleotides) under Arabidopsis thaliana (thale cress). Its description in RNAcentral is "ATSL099170". Lineage: Eukaryota; Viridiplantae; Streptophyta; Magnoliopsida; Brassicales; Brassicaceae. The record is from RNAcentral.